AUUUCAAUGGCUAUUUUUAGGAUUAUUUUGGAUCUUGAUAUUCUGGGGUUUUUUAAUAUUCUUUUUGGGUUUUUUAAUAUUCUAUUCCUCUGUUUGCUCUCGUGUUUUGCAAUUCUUUGUUUCAGUCUGUAAGGACAGACUAUGAUCAAUGCAACGUUUGACUUAGGAUGACAAAGUGUCAGCAGGAAAGCAGGCCAGGUAGUCCCUGUUUCCUGAAGAGGGAGCACCUGGAGGAGGAGGAGCAGGACCGAUGCCACCCUUUUACAAGAGGAGGAGAGAGCAGGAGUCUGUAAGGACAGACUAUGAUCAAUGCCAUGUUGGACUUAGGAUGACAAAGUGGCAGCAGGAAAGCAGGCCAGGUAGUCCCUGUUUCCUGAAGAGGGAGCACCUGAAGGAGGAGGAGCAGGACCGAUGCCACCCUUUUAAAAGAGGAGGAGCGAGCAGGAGUCUGUAAGGAUAGAGUUUGAUCAAUGCCACGUUUGACUUAGGAUGACAAAGUGGCAGCAGGAAAGCAGGCCAGGUAGUCCCUGUUUCCUGAAGAGGGAGCACCUAAAGGAGGAGGAGCAGGACCGAUGACACCCUUUUAAAAGAGGAGGAGCGAGCAGGAGUCUGUAAGCACAGACUAUGAUCA
This is a long non-coding RNA of Athene cunicularia (burrowing owl), 631 nucleotides long. RefSeq lists it as uncharacterized. NCBI's taxonomy places the organism in Eukaryota, Metazoa, Chordata, Aves, Strigiformes, Strigidae. The transcript has 5 exons. The record is from RefSeq and is a predicted model, not a curated record.